UGGGUGGUACAACGAGUCGCCAACCCGCGAGGGUGCGCUAAUCUCUUAAAACCAUUCUCAGUUCGGAUUGCAGGCUGCAACUCGCCUGCAUGAAGUCGGAAUCGCUAGUAAUCGCGGAUCAGCACGCCGCGGUGAAUACGUUCCCGGGCCUUGUACACACCGCCCGUCACACCACGGAAGUUGGGAGUACCCAAAGUAGGUUGCCUAACCGCAAGGAGGGCGCUUCCUAAGGUAAGACCGAUGACUGGGGUGAAGUCGUAACAAGGUAAC
RNAcentral lists this ribosomal RNA (270 nucleotides) under uncultured bacterium. RNAcentral's name for it is "partial 16S ribosomal RNA". It matches the Rfam family "Bacterial small subunit ribosomal RNA", at positions 1231 to 1500 of the family's 1533-position model. The record is from RNAcentral.